UGGGGAAUUUUCCGCAAUGGGCGAAAGCCUGACGGAGCAACGCCGCGUGAGGGAGGAAGGCCUUUGGGUUGUAAACCUCUUUUGCUGGGGAAGAAGUCAGUGACGGUACCCAGCGAAUCAGCAUCGGCUAACUCCGUGCCAGCAGCCGCGGUAAUACGGAGGAUGCAAGCGUUAUCCGGAAUCAUUGGGCGUAAAGCGUCCGCAGGUGGCCUUUCAAGUCUGCUGUCAAAGACCGAAGCUUAACUUCGGGCCGGCGGUGGAAACUGAAAAGCUAGAGGACAGUAGGGGUAGCGGGAAUUCCCAGUGUAGCGGUGAAAUGCGUAGAGAUUGGGAAGAACAUCGGUGGCGAAAGCGCGCUACUGGGCUGAACCUGACACUAAGGGACGAAAGCUAGGGGAGCGAAAGGG
This 407-nucleotide ribosomal RNA is filed under the name uncultured cyanobacterium. RNAcentral's name for it is "bacterial SSU rRNA". It matches the Rfam family "Bacterial small subunit ribosomal RNA", at positions 355 to 776 of the family's 1533-position model. The record is from RNAcentral. Lineage: Bacteria; Bacillati; Cyanobacteriota.